This is a long non-coding RNA of Nymphalis io (European peacock), 1550 nucleotides long. RefSeq lists it as uncharacterized. NCBI's taxonomy places the organism in Eukaryota, Metazoa, Arthropoda, Insecta, Lepidoptera, Nymphalidae. The transcript is spliced from 3 exons. The record is from RefSeq and is a predicted model, not a curated record.
UCACAGAGGUCGCCCUAUUGAGAUAUUUUAUAGAUCUUUGUUUAUUUUUAUUGAAAAUUUUAAUUGCGUGAAACACAUUCUUCAAAGUAUUAUUAAGUUAAAAUGUGAGCUCCGUAAACUAAGAGCGGUUACAACUGGUAAAAAACUGCUUUAGUUGAAUGGCUGGAGGCAUGCUAUAGGAACAACUUCAUUGGAACAGAUGAGGAGUUAGACGAUGAUAUUUCAGAUUUUCCAACCCUGGAUAGGUUAAGAGACGUUAACGCUAGCACCUUAUACAUAAAAGACAAAACCAAAAGAAAAAUUGCCUUUAAUUAACUUAAAGAAUUGUACAUAAUAAAGUGACAAUAUAUUAUAUUUGACAAGAUAAAGGAAUAGUUAAUUUUUUUCAUAAAUUAUACCUCAUUCACCCCCUGUGAAAUUCUAAGAUCCGAGCUUAGAGUUCGAUCUUUAGAGUCAUGAAAACAUCUACAAUGUCUUCUUGUUCUUUCUGACUUUCUGUAUUUGAGACAUUUAAUUCUUCUAUACUUUGUUUGAUUGACAUACACUUAUAUUGAAAUAAGGGAUUGGAGCUAAAUUUCGAGUUUUAUUUUAUUUUAUUAAGGACCAUCAGCAGUCAACAAUCUUUAUUGUAAUAAUAAAACAAACACAUUCAGCUAACAGCUUGCAUAAAAUGUGCGACUCUUCAAGACGGCCACAACAUGCAUUUUAAGUUACCAAAUCACAAUAAAAAAAAUUUAAGAGGCAAAAGGAGAAAGGAAGCAAGGAAAAUAUUUAUUAUGAUUAAAGUAUUUUAAUAGUAUAACAGGUAUAGUAUUCAACAGCUGCACUAAGCAUUGCGUAAAAAAUACUUAUUAUAGUGUAAACAAUAUUAUGUUAAUUUCUAUAAUUACAGAUACAAUUAUUUGUAUUAGACAUUGUCACCAUUCGUAUGUGAGGUCACAUACAAACUAGAUAUAGUUUGCCUUUCAUACAACACAACACAUUUUGUUUUGUUCUUUCUACGUGCUAUCAUUAUACGUCAAUAUUAAUCUAGUUCAGCUACUAUACAUUUAUAUAUUUUCUAAAUUUAAAUAAAUCAUAUUUCUCUAUUAUCUUUAUAAUAUCAAUUUGUUUUAUAUAAUACAUACAGCUCUUAAGCAAGCGACACUCAACCUUAUUAAAAAAUUGUAAUAUAUAUAUAUAUUAAACUUUUCCUAAAAAGACAUCUUAAAGUUAUAUAGUUAUUGCUAUUACAUGAGUUCUAAAUAUUUACAUAGUACCUAAGCAAAUUCGAUGGGACUAACAUAUUGCUAUCUCUGUCUUAUUGAUGAGGUGAAAAUUCUGUCAAAUAGAAAGUCCCAUCAAAUUAUUUGAAAAAAAGAAGUUUUUAAUUUGUUGUAACUAUCAUUGUGACUGGUCAAGGCAAUAUGUGUCAAUACAUCUUUCUUGAAGCCAAACAUCCCGUUCUAUAAUUAUACCACACAGCUAUUUUUACAUUUAAUAAUAAAUAAAUUUAAAUAAUGAACAAUAUAAUAUACAUGAUUACAUGUAUGAUACACAGCAUUGCAACU